This 23-nucleotide small nuclear RNA is filed under the name Arabidopsis thaliana (thale cress). RNAcentral's name for it is "snRNA_06751". The record is from RNAcentral. Lineage: Eukaryota; Viridiplantae; Streptophyta; Magnoliopsida; Brassicales; Brassicaceae.
UUACACACACCACUAACUUGUGA